AAAUUGAAGAGUUUGAUCAUGGCUCAGAUUGAACGCUGGCGGCAGGCCUAACACAUGCAAGUCGAGCGGUAGCACAGAGAGCUUGCUCUCGGGUGACGAGCGGCGGACGGGUGAGUAAUGUCUGGGAAACUGCCUGAUGGAGGGGGAUAACUACUGGAAACGGUAGCUAAUACCGCAUAACGUCGCAAGACCAAAGUGGGGGACCUUCGGGCCUCAUGCCAUCAGAUGUGCCCAGAUGGGAUUAGCUAGUAGGUGGGGUAACGGCUCACCUAGGCGACGAUCCCUAGCUGGUCUGAGAGGAUGACCAGCCACACUGGAACUGAGACACGGUCCAGACUCCUACGGGAGGCAGCAGUGGGGAAUAUUGCACAAUGGGCGCAAGCCUGAUGCAGCCAUGCCGCGUGUGUGAAGAAGGCCUUCGGGUUGUAAAGCACUUUCAGCGGGGAGGAAGGCGAUAAGGUUAAUAACCUUGUCGAUUGACGUUACCCGCAGAAGAAGCACCGGCUAACUCCGUGCCAGCAGCCGCGGUAAUACGGAGGGUGCAAGCGUUAAUCGGAAUUACUGGGCGUAAAGCGCACGCAGGCGGUCUGUCAAGUCGGAUGUGAAAUCCCCGGGCUCAACCUGGGAACUGCAUUCGAAACUGGCAGGCUAGAGUCUUGUAGAGGGGGGUAGAAUUCCAGGUGUAGCGGUGAAAUGCGUAGAGAUCUGGAGGAAUACCGGUGGCGAAGGCGGCCCCCUGGACAAAGACUGACGCUCAGGUGCGAAAGCGUGGGGAGCAAACAGGAUUAGAUACCCUGGUAGUCCACGCCGUAAACGAUGUCGAUUUGGAGGUUGUGCCCUUGAGGCGUGGCUUCCGGAGCUAACGCGUUAAAUCGACCGCCUGGGGAGUACGGCCGCAAGGUUAAAACUCAAAUGAAUUGACGGGGCCCGCACAAGCGGUGGAGCAUGUGGUUUAAUUCGAUGCAACGCGAAGAACCUUACCUGGUCUUGACAUCCACAGAACUUUCCAGAGAUGGAUUGGUGCCUUCGGGAACUGUGAGACAGGUGCUGCAUGGCUGUCGUCAGCUCGUGUUGUGAAAUGUUGGGUUAAGUCCCGCAACGAGCGCAACCCUUAUCCUUUGUUGCCAGCGGUCCGGCCGGGAACUCAAAGGAGACUGCCAGUGAUAAACUGGAGGAAGGUGGGGAUGACGUCAAGUCAUCAUGGCCCUUACGACCAGGGCUACACACGUGCUACAAUGGCAUAUACAAAGAGAAGCGACCUCGCGAGAGCAAGCGGACCUCAUAAAGUAUGUCGUAGUCCGGAUUGGAGUCUGCAACUCGACUCCAUGAAGUCGGAAUCGCUAGUAAUCGUAGAUCAGAAUGCUACGGUGAAUACGUUCCCGGGCCUUGUACACACCGCCCGUCACACCAUGGGAGUGGGUUGCAAAAGAAGUAGGUAGCUUAACCUUCGGGAGGGCGCUUACCACUUUGUGAUUCAUGACUGGGGUGAAGUCGUAACAAGGUAACCGUAGGGGAACCUGCGGUUGGAUCACCUCCUUACCUUAAAGAA
This 1549-nucleotide ribosomal RNA is filed under the name Klebsiella pneumoniae. RNAcentral describes it as "bacterial SSU rRNA". It matches the Rfam family "Bacterial small subunit ribosomal RNA". Lineage: Bacteria; Pseudomonadati; Pseudomonadota; Gammaproteobacteria; Enterobacterales; Enterobacteriaceae. The record is from RNAcentral.